This 476-nucleotide ribosomal RNA is filed under the name Veillonella parvula. RNAcentral's name for it is "bacterial SSU rRNA". It matches the Rfam family "Bacterial small subunit ribosomal RNA", at positions 28 to 477 of the family's 1533-position model. Lineage: Bacteria; Bacillati; Bacillota; Negativicutes; Veillonellales; Veillonellaceae. The record is from RNAcentral.
GACGAACGCGGGCGGCGUGCUUAACACAUGCAAGUCGAACGAAGAGCGAUGGAAGCUUGCUUCUAUCAAUCUUAGUGGCGAACGGGUGAGUAACGCGUAAUCAACCUGCCCUUCAGAGGGGGACAACAGUUGGAAACGACUGCUAAUACCGCAUACGAUCUAAUCUCGGCAUCGAGGAUAGAUGAAAGGUGGCCUCUACAUGUAAGCUAUCACUGAAGGAGGGGAUUGCGUCUGAUUAGCUAGUUGGAGGGGUAACGGCCCACCAAGGCGAUGAUCAGUAGCCGGUCUGAGAGGAUGAACGGCCACAUUGGGACUGAGACACGGCCCAGACUCCUACGGGAGGCAGCAGUGGGGAAUCUUCCGCAAUGGACGAAAGUCUGACGGAGCAACGCCGCGUGAGUGAUGACGGCCUUCGGGUUGUAAAGCUCUGUUAAUCGGGACGAAAGGCCUUUCUUUGCGAAUAAGUGAGAAAGGAA